Molecule: ribosomal RNA, 492 nt
Filed under: uncultured bacterium
Lineage: Bacteria
Description: partial 16S ribosomal RNA
Rfam family: Bacterial small subunit ribosomal RNA
Source: RNAcentral
AGUGAACGCUGGCGGUAGGCCUAACACAUGCAAGUCGAACGGCAGCACAGUAAGAGCUUGCUCUUACGGGUGGCGAGUGGCGGACGGGUGAGGAAUACAUCGGAAUCUACUUUUUCGUGGGGGAUAACGUAGGGAAACUUACGCUAAUACCGCAUACGACCUACGGGUGAAAGCAGUGGAUCUUCGGACCUUGCGCGAUUGUAUUAGCCGAUGUCGGAUUAGCUAGUUGGCGGGGUAAAGGCCCACCAAGGCGACGAUCCGUAGCUGGUCUGAGAGGAUGAUCAGCCACACUGGAACUGAGACACGGUCCAGACUCCUACGGGAGGCAGCAGUGGGGAAUAUUGGACAAUGGGCGAAAGCCUGAUCCAGCCAUACCGCGUGGGUGAAGAAGGCCUUCGGGUUGUAAAGCCCUGUUGUUGGGAAAGAAAAGCAGCAGGUUAAUACCCCGCUGUUCUGACGGUACCCAAAGAAUAAGCACCGGCUAACUUCGUG